UUAUAUUCUGUAGCAAGGUUAACCGAAUAGGGGAGCCGAAGGGAAACCGAGUCUUAACUGGGCGUUAAGUUGCAGGGUAUAGACCCGAAACCCGGUGAUCUAGCCAUGGGCAGGUUGAAGGUUGGGUAACACUAACUGGAGGACCGAACCGACUAAUGUUGAAAAAUUAGCGGAUGACUUGUGGCUGGGGGUGAAAGGCCAAUCAAACCGGGAGAUAGCUGGUUCUCCCCGAAAGCUAUUUAGGUAGCGCCUCGUGAAUUCAUCUCCGGGGGUAGAGCACUGUUUCGGCAAGGGGGUCAUCCCGACUUACCAACCCGAUGCAAACUGCGAAUACCGGAGAAUGUUAUCACGGGAGACACACGGCGGGUGCUAACGUCCGUCGUGAAGAGGGAAACAACCCAGACCGCCAGCUAAGGUCCCAAAGUCAUGGUUAAGUGGGAAACGAUGUGGGAAGGCCCAGACAGCCAGGAUGUUGGCUUAGAAGCAGCCAUCAUUUAAAGAAAGCGUAAUAGCUCACUGGUCGAGUCGGCCUGCGCGGAAGAUGUAACGGGGCUAAACCAUGCAC
RNAcentral lists this ribosomal RNA (565 nucleotides) under Escherichia coli. RNAcentral's name for it is "partial 23S ribosomal RNA". It matches the Rfam family "Bacterial large subunit ribosomal RNA", at positions 628 to 1194 of the family's 2925-position model. The record is from RNAcentral. Lineage: Bacteria; Pseudomonadati; Pseudomonadota; Gammaproteobacteria; Enterobacterales; Enterobacteriaceae.